This 517-nucleotide ribosomal RNA is filed under the name uncultured ciliate. RNAcentral describes it as "SSU rRNA". It matches the Rfam family "Eukaryotic small subunit ribosomal RNA", at positions 342 to 944 of the family's 1831-position model. Lineage: Eukaryota; Ciliophora. The record is from RNAcentral.
UACCAUGGUUCUCACGGGUAACGGAGAAUUAGGGUUCGAUUCCGGAGAAGGAGCCUGAGAAACGGCUACUACAUCUAAGGAAGGCAGCAGGCGCGUAAAUUACCCAAUCCUGACUCAGGGAGGUAGUGACAAGAUAUAACGACGCGACUAAAAAUCGCGAUUGUAGUGAGGGUAUUCUAAACCGAACCACUAGUACGAUUGGAGGGCAAGUCUGGUGCCAGCAGCCGCGGUAAUUCCAGCUCCAAUAGCGUAUAUUAAAGUUGUUGCAGUUAAAAAGCUCGUAGUUGGAUUUCAAGGGAAGUAACGUGUUCUCACGUUGCCCCCUACCAGUCUUUGACUGUUACUGCGAGAAAAUUAGAGUGUUUCAAGCAGGCUGUUGCAGGAAUACAUUAGCAUGGAAUAACGAGUGUGUCUAGAAUCUUGGUUAAUUCUAGAUUACGAUUAAUAGGGACAGUUGGGGGCAUUAGUAUUUAAUUGUCAGAGGUGAAAUUCUUGGAUUUGUUAAAGACUAACGUAU